AGUUGCGAUCAUACAAGCACUAAUGCACCGGAUCCCAUCAGAACUCCGUAGUUAAGCGUGCUUGGGCGAGAGUAGUACUAGGAUGGGUGACCCCCUGGGAAGUCCUCGUGUUGCAACCCCCG
RNAcentral lists this ribosomal RNA (122 nucleotides) under Helianthus annuus (common sunflower). The record is from RNAcentral. Lineage: Eukaryota; Viridiplantae; Streptophyta; Magnoliopsida; Asterales; Asteraceae.